Chrysolophus pictus (golden pheasant) is the source of this 87-nucleotide microRNA precursor. NCBI's taxonomy places the organism in Eukaryota, Metazoa, Chordata, Aves, Galliformes, Phasianidae. The record is from Ensembl.
AGAUCUGGCUCUACGUUGUCCUCAUUGUACAUGCUGUGUGUAUUUGCCACGUACACAGCGCAUGCAAUGUGGACAUAAUGGAGCUCA